Molecule: ribosomal RNA, 468 nt
Filed under: uncultured bacterium
Lineage: Bacteria
Description: partial 16S ribosomal RNA
Rfam family: Bacterial small subunit ribosomal RNA
Source: RNAcentral
GACGAACGCUGGCGGCGUGCUUAACACAUGCAAGUCGAACGGAAAGGCCCUGCUCUUGUGGGGUGCUCGAGUGGCGAACGGGGGAGUAACACGUGUGUAACAUGCCCUUGUCUGUGGGAUAUCAUUAGGAAACACGGGCUCAAACCCGGUAUGAUCUACUGAUGCGUGGGGGGGGUUGGUAAGUUUCGGCGGUUGGGGCUGGACUAGCGGGAUAUCAGCUUGUUGGUGAGGUAGUGGCUUACCAAGGCUUUGACGGGUAGCCGGCCUUGGAGGGUGACCGGCGACAUGGGUCCUGCGAUACGCCGCAGUCUCGUACGGUAGGCAGCAGGGGGGAACAUGGCGCAACGGGCCGGAGCCUGAUGCGGCAGUGCCCCGAGCGUGAUGACGGGCUUCGGGUUGUAAACCACUUUCUCCUGUGCCGAAGCGGGAUUGACGGUAAUGGGUAAAGAAGCACCGGCUAACUACGUG